GUGUGUGUGUUAGUGGAAGCGUCUGGAAAGGCGCGCGAUACAGGGUGACAGCCCCGUACACAAAAAUGCACAUACUGUGAGCUCGAUGAGUAGGGCGGGACACGUGGUAUCCUGUCUGAAUAUGGGGGGACCAUCCUCCAAGGCUAAAUACUCCUGACUGACCGAUAGUGAACCAGUACCGUGAGGGAAAGGCGAAAAGAACCCCGGCGAGGGGAGUGAAAAAGAACCUGAAACCGUGUACGUACAAGCAGUGGGAGCCUCUUUUAUGGGGUGACUGCGUACCUUUUGUAUAAUGGGUCAGCGACUUAUAUUCUGUAGCAAGGUUAACCGAAUAGGGGAGCCGAAGGGAAACCGAGUCUUAACUGGGCGUUAAGUUGCAGGGUAUAGACCCGAAACCCGGUGAUCUAGCCAUGGGCAGGUUGAAGGUUGGGUAACACUAACUGGAGGACCGAACCGACUAAUGUUGAAAAAUUAGCGGAUGACUUGUGGCUGGGGGUGAAAGGCCAAUCAAACCGGGAGAUAGCUGGUUCUCCCCGAAAGCUAUUUAGGUAGCGCCUCGUGAAUUCAUCUCCGGGGGUAGAGCACUGUUUCGGCAAGGGGGUCAUCCCGACUUACCAACCCGAUGCAAACUGCGAAUACCGGAGAAUGUUAUCACGGGAGACACACGGCGGGUGCUAACGUCCGUCGUGAAGAGGGAAACAACCCAGACCGCCAGCUAAGGUCCCAAAGUCAUGGUUAAGUGGGAAACGAUGUGGGAAGGCCCAGACAGCCAGGAUGUUGGCUUAGAAGCAGCCAUCAUUUAAAGAAAGCGUAAUAGCUCACUGGUCGAGUCGGCCUGCGCGGAAGAUGUAACGGGGCUAAACCAUG
This 867-nucleotide ribosomal RNA is filed under the name Escherichia coli. RNAcentral's name for it is "partial 23S ribosomal RNA". It matches the Rfam family "Bacterial large subunit ribosomal RNA", at positions 320 to 1191 of the family's 2925-position model. The record is from RNAcentral. Lineage: Bacteria; Pseudomonadati; Pseudomonadota; Gammaproteobacteria; Enterobacterales; Enterobacteriaceae.